AAGUACAUCUUGAAUGAUCAUCAAUGAAACUAACAAAAUAACGAAAUCCCAAGGUUGAACUGACUCUACUAGGACCCCAUAUAUCUGAAUAAACUAAAGAAAAAACAGACUCUGCACGACUCUCAAUACUAUAAGGAAAGGAGGCUCGAGUAUGUUUCCCGAGCUGACAUGACUCACACUCUAAUGUGGAUAAACUAGGCAAACUAGGCAUCAUCUUCUGAAGCUUGGACAAGCUAGGAUGUCCUAAACGACUGUGAAGUAGGUCUGGAGGAUCUGCAACUAGACAGGCCUGGGAGGAUUUUAGUGAGUUAAGAUAGUAGAGUCCUUCUGAUUCACGUCCUGUUCAAAUUGUCUGUCAUGUACUGCUGUCCUGCAUACUAAAAGAGUCAUCAAUAAAAUAUAUACCACAAUGGAGGGCACGAGUCAAACGACUAACAGAUGCAAGAUUAAAAGGACAGCCAGGGACAUAAAGAACGGAAUCUAGAAGUAGGUCUGGAGGAUCUGCAACUAGACAGGCCUGGGAGGAUUUUAGUGAGUUAAGAUAGUAGAGUCCUUCUGAUUCACGUCCUGUUCAAAUUGUCUGUCAUGUACUGCUGUCCUGCAUACUAAAAGAGUCAUCAAUAAAAUAUAUACCACAAUGGAGGGCACGAGUCAAACGACUAACAGAUGCAAGAUUAAAAGGACAGUCAGGGACAUAAAAGAACAGAAUCUAGAGUAACACAGGGUAGGGGAUUCGCUUGUCCAACUCCUUUUGCUUUAGUUUGAGAUCUAUUGGUGAAAGUAACGUUGGGAAGAGACUGUGAAUACGCAAUAUUUGACAAAAGGGAUUUAUUACUAGAGAUAUGAUCAGAAGCAACUGAGUCCACAACCCAUUGUUCAAGAGGACUAGACUGGGAAACAGGAGCAAAAUAAGUACCACCUACAUAAGUAUCAGUCUGAGCAACAGCGGCUACUUGUGGAGAUGUCUACCUACUUGCUCGAUAUUUAAGGAACUCAUUAUACUUCCCUUCAGAUACAGAAAAUCCCUGGUUACAUACAGUCUCGGUCUGAGCAACAUAAGCAUUUUUGGGUGGUCGACCAUGUAAAGAAUAGCAUACGUCN
Molecule: long non-coding RNA, 1101 nt
Filed under: Nicotiana benthamiana
Lineage: Eukaryota; Viridiplantae; Streptophyta; Magnoliopsida; Solanales; Solanaceae
Description: long non-coding RNA (NBEN_LNC004849)
Source: RNAcentral